RNAcentral lists this ribosomal RNA (406 nucleotides) under uncultured bacterium. RNAcentral's name for it is "partial 16S ribosomal RNA". It matches the Rfam family "Bacterial small subunit ribosomal RNA", at positions 30 to 526 of the family's 1533-position model. The record is from RNAcentral.
AUUGAACGCUGGCGGCAGGCCUAACACAUGCAAGUCGAACGGGUGGCGGACGGGUGCGUACUGUUUAGGAACCUGCUCGUUGGCGGGGGAUAACUGCUGGAAACGGUAGCGACUCCGGCAUCACAUCAGAUGUGCACAGAUGGGAUUAGAUAGUGGGUGGGGUAAAGGCUCACCUAGGCGACGAGCCCUAGCCGGUCUGAGAGGAUGAUCCGCCACACUGGAACUGAGACACGGUCCAGACUCCUACGGGAGGCAGCAGUGGGGAAUAUUGGACAAUGGGCGAAAGCCUGAUGCAGCCAUGCCGCGUGUGUGAAGAAGGUCUUCGGAUUGUAAAGUACUUUCAGUAGGGAGGCGUUACCAACAGAAGAAGCACCGGCUAACUACGUGCCAGCAGCCGCGGUAAUAC